AGUUUUUGUCUUUCAGUAUUUUGAAUAUAUCAUUCCACUCUUUCCUAGCCUGUAGGAUUUCUACUUGUAAAUUUGCUGAAAGCCUGAUAAAUAUUCCUUUGUAGGUUAUUUUCUUCUGUCUUGUGGCCCUUAAUAUUUUUUCUUUGUCAUUGAAUUUUGACAGCUUUGGUAUUAUAUGCCUUGGGUAAGAUCUUUUGCCUUGAUGUAAUUAGGAGUUCUAUUGGUUUCAAGUAAUUGUAAGUCCAGUUACUUCCUCAGGUUUGUGAAGAUCUCAGCUACUGUUCUUUUGAAUAAGCUCUCUUCUCCUUUUCCCCUCUCUUCUCCUCCUGGGAUAUCUAUUAUCCUUAUGUUACUUUUCCUAAUUGAGUCAGAUAUUUCUUGAAGAAUUUCUUCACUUUUUAAAAUCUUCAUUCUCUCUCUUCCUCCACCUGAAUCAAUUCUAAGUUUCUAUCUUUGAGGUCACUAAUUCUCCCCUCCAUAUGUUCUGCUCUAUCUUUAAUGCUUUCUUACUUAUUUUUAAUCUCAUAAUUGUGUUCUUCAUCUCCAACAUUUGUUUGUUUUUUGUUUAUUUUUUUAAUCCUGAGCUCAUUGAACGAUAUUUCUGAGUUUUCUUGUAACUCAUUGAUUUACUGUGGAAGAGCUAUUGUGAAUUCUCUUUCAGUUAGAUUAUAUUCUUCUGUGACUUCAAAUUUGGUUUCUGGAGAGUUUUCCUUCUCAUUCUCUUGUACCAUGUUACUGUAGUUAUUCACAGUAUUUGGUGAGUUAAGUCUCUGCUGGGGCACUUGUGAUAGUACUACCAUUCUUAAUUGGGUAUAGCUUUGAUUACUUUGGUUUUGAUCUGCUUCUUAUUGUAUUUGAGAUCCUACACUUUCCAUCCUGGGGUCUGUUCCCUGGAUUACUGAUACCAAGGGAGGAGGAGGGUGUUGCUACUCUGGUUCCAUUGCCUCCUGUGGGUCCAGGCCACGUGCCUUCAGUUGUAUAUAGGUAUGGAUCUGUUAUUUUUCCUGCGAUGCUGUGUAGGGGAUCUUCUGUUGGUCAAUGGUAUUCCAAUGGUUUGUAACUUAGAAAGGAAAGACAAAGAGAAUAACUUACUCUGCCAUGAUGAUGAUGUCAUUGCAUUUCAUUUACUUUUAUUUUACAAUUACAAUUGGGGGCAACUCACCAUUAAUUUCUUAUCCUUUUGUUUUUUGAUAUUCAGCUUGUGUCUGUUUUCAAAAUAAAAACAAAAUUUCAAUCAAAAUAUAUUUGAUAUACAAGUGUUAAAUUAAAUUCUACAACAUGUUGAUUUGAUAUGUUUAUAUAUUGUGAUAUUAUUGCAUUUGUAGUGAUAAUUAGCACCUCUAUCACGUCACAUAAUUAUCAUGUCUAAUAUGUGUUUGGAAUAAUUAAGAUCUAAUCUCUUAAGUUUGAAUAUUAUAAGGCAAUAUUGUUGUCUAUAGUCACUGUACUUUUCAUUAGAUCUCUAGGACGUAUUUACUACUAGUUGCAAAUUUGUACCCUUAAACAACUUUUCUCAUAUUCCCCCACAACCAAGGCCCUGGUAUCCAC
RNAcentral lists this long non-coding RNA (1548 nucleotides) under Equus caballus (horse). RNAcentral's name for it is "lncRNA (ENSECAG00000053624.1)". The record is from RNAcentral. Lineage: Eukaryota; Metazoa; Chordata; Mammalia; Perissodactyla; Equidae.